Molecule: ribosomal RNA, 909 nt
Filed under: Macaca fascicularis (crab-eating macaque)
Lineage: Eukaryota; Metazoa; Chordata; Mammalia; Primates; Cercopithecidae
Description: partial 16S ribosomal RNA
Rfam family: Bacterial large subunit ribosomal RNA (bases 154-909)
Source: RNAcentral
GCCAAUACUAGCCCUAAGCAUAACCAACACUAAUACCAAACCAACAUACACUAAACCAUUCACCUACACAAAGUAUAGGCGAUAGAAAUUUUAAUCUGGCGCUAUAGACACAGUACCGUAAGGGAAAGAUAAAAAACCACCCAAGCACAAAACAGCAAAGACUAACUCCUGUACCUUUCGCAUAAUGAAUUAGCUAGAAACAAUUUCACGAAGAGGACUACAAGCCAAAUCCCCCGAAACCAGACGAGCUACCCAAAAACAGCUAAAAGAGCGCACCCGCCUAUGUGGCAAAAUAGUGGGAAGAUUUCUGGGUAGAGGUGACAAGCCUACCGAGCCUGGUGAUAGCUGGUUAUCCAAGACAGAAUCUUAGUUCAACCUUAAGCUUACCUAUAGAACCACCUAAUCCCCCUGUAAGCUUAACUGCUAGUCUAAAGAGGGACAGCUCUUUAGACACUAGGAAAAAACCUUACAGAGAGAGUAAAACCCUCAAUCACCAUAGUUGGCUUAAAAGCAGCCAUCAAUUAAGAAAGCGUUCAAGCUCAACACUAACCACCACAAAAAUACCAAACACAUAACUGAACUCCUCACACCACAUUGGAUUAAUCUAUCACCAUAUAGAAGCAAUAAUGCUAGUAUAAGUAACAUGAAUAUUUUCUCCACUGCAUAAGCCUAAAUCGGACCGAAAGCCUCACCGAUAUUUAACAGCCAGGCAUAACAAGCACAAACAAGCCCAUGCCACCUUCACUGUUAACCCAACACAGGCAUGCCCCAAGGAAAGGUUAAAAAAAGUAAAAGGAACUCGGCAAACCCAAACCCCGCCUGUUUACCAAAAACAUCACCUCUAGCAUUACUAGUAUUAGAGGCACUGCCUGCCCGGUGACACACGUUUAACGGCCGCGGUACCCUGAC